GCUGGCGGCGUGCCUAUUACAUGCAAGUCGAGCGCGGGAAGCAAGCUGAUCCUCUUCGGAGGUGACGCUUGUGGAACGAGCGGCGGACGGGUGAGUAACACGUGGGCAACCUGCCUGUAAGACUGGGAUAACCCCGGGAAACCGGGGCUAAUACCGGAUAAUACUUUUCAUCACCUGAUGAGAAGUUGAAAGGUGGCUUUUAGCUACCACUUACAGAUGGGCCCGCGGCGCAUUAGCUAGUUGGUGAGGUAACGGCUCACCAAGGCAACGAUGCGUAGCCGACCUGAGAGGGUGAUCGGCCACACUGGGACUGAGACACGGCCCAGACUCCUACGGGAGGCAGCAGUAGGGAAUCUUCCGCAAUGGACGAAAGUCUGACGGAGCAACGCCGCGUGAGUGAUGAAGGUUUUCGGAUCGUAAAGCUCUGUUGUUAGGGAAGAACAAGUGCCGUUCGAAUAGGGCGGCACCUUGACGGUACCUAACCAGAAAGCCCCGGCUAACUACGUGCCAGCAGCCGCGGUAAUACGUAGGGGGC
RNAcentral lists this ribosomal RNA (535 nucleotides) under Virgibacillus halodenitrificans. RNAcentral describes it as "bacterial SSU rRNA". It matches the Rfam family "Bacterial small subunit ribosomal RNA", at positions 35 to 535 of the family's 1533-position model. The record is from RNAcentral. Lineage: Bacteria; Bacillati; Bacillota; Bacilli; Caryophanales; Bacillaceae.